Panthera uncia (snow leopard) is the source of this 1403-nucleotide long non-coding RNA. RefSeq lists it as uncharacterized. Lineage: Eukaryota; Metazoa; Chordata; Mammalia; Carnivora; Felidae. The record is from RefSeq and is a predicted model, not a curated record. The transcript is spliced from 4 exons.
AAGUCCAAAGUUAAAAUUCUAGGGCAUUCCACUCAUGGCUGGGGGAUCCUAUCCUGGAGCUGAAUUACCCACAUCCCUGGGGGAAGAGGAAGGGCACUGGCCUAAAGCCUGCAGACCCGUCUCCUUUAUAGUCCUGGCUCUUGCUUAUUAUCCAGGGAUCCAGCUUGUCAGUUUGCAGCUUAGUUUUCUCAUCUGUAAUGUGGGCACCAUAACCCCUGUCCUGUGGGCUUUAGAUGUUAGGGACAUGAGAUGAAGUGACUGAUAGGGAGGUCCUUUGACAUGUAAAAUGCUCUCCCAUUGUGUGUGUGUGUGUGUGUUUGCGCACUGGGAAGGGUGGAAGUUAUCCAAGGAGUCCCCAGGAUUGUGGCCUCAGCUUGGCCUGGCAGAGCAGUACCUUCCUGGGCGGAGGUCAAAGCCAGGUCCUUUUCCCACGGUCAACACCAAGGCCUGGGUCCUCUUUGUUGUUCCUGGCUCCUCUCCUAGCAACCAAAGUUUCAAAGAAGGUUCUGCAGAGCAAUGGGGACCUUGUCUCUUAGCUUCCUAAGAAGAGGGACCAGUUGGACUAAGAGUUCAGAUCCUGGGCAGCAGCAUUAGACCACCUUGGGCAAGUGCAGGGAGCAGCUCUGCCAGCAAGUCAAGUUCAUGGCCUAAGGCUUGACCUCAGCCUUAGCCUGAUAAUGGAAAACUCAGAGAUCAGACCUAGACCAGCUGUCUUGCUGGCCCUACACUUUGGUUAUAAUUCUGGCAAGAGGCUCCAAGAGACGCCCCUAACUGCCCCUUCCUCAAUCCUCACACCAUUCACACUGAGAGCUUCCUCUGCUCCCCAGACAGAGACUUCAGAGCCAGACCCAGGCCUUCCCUCUGGCAAUUAGAGGAAAAGCUGUUCCAAGACUUCUACCUACAACUUGUGAGUGACUCUGGCCACUCAGCCAUGAUCUCACGGCCUGAUUCAACCACCUUCCCCACCUGAAUUUUUGUUACUGACAGAAAUGGGGACCCAUGCGGGUAACAGUGAAACUCUGCUGUGUCUUCAACUUCCUCCCCAGUUGGACUAAAUUAUCCAGGUCAGGCUGGCAGUGUUCCAGUCCUAGAGAGGAAGCAUUCUGGCAACUCAGGACCUCUUCUGAAUGAUACUAUCCUAUUACAAGUCCAAGGUAGUCCUUUCUCCUUCCAUGAUUUUGCUCCCUGAAUUCUACCCUGAUCUUCUCGUCCUUCUCCUUCUUAAUUUACCACCUCCAGAGGCUUCCUUAGUCCUUAGUCAAUAAAUGGGCAAGCGUGUGCAUGUUUGAAGGUAAUGAGGAGGAGAUGGCGAUGAUAAGAGUAACCACCAGGGGGAGCCUGUGCCUAAGAAGACACUUGACUAGAGGCAUAAGGGGGCCACUCAGGACUUUUCUUCCCUUUUU